UACAGAGGGGGCAAGCGUUGUUCGGAAUUACUGGGCGUAAAGGGCGCGUAGGCGGCCUGCUAAAUCGGAUGUGAAAUCCCCAGGCUUAACCUGGGAACUGCAUCCGAUACUGGAUGGCUUGAAUUCGGGAGAGGGAUGCAGAAUUCCAGGUGUAGCGGUGAAAUGCGUAGAUAUCUGGAGGAAUACCGGUGGCGAAGGCGGCAUCCUGGACCGACAUUGACGCUGAGGAGCGAAAGCUAGGGGAGCAAACGGG
This 253-nucleotide ribosomal RNA is filed under the name uncultured bacterium. RNAcentral's name for it is "partial 16S ribosomal RNA". It matches the Rfam family "Bacterial small subunit ribosomal RNA", at positions 524 to 776 of the family's 1533-position model. The record is from RNAcentral.